UACGGGGGGAGCAAACGUUGUUCGGAAUCACUGGGCGUAAAGGGCGCGUAGGCGGUCCUGUAAGUGGUGUGUGAAAUCCGAUGGCUCAACCAUCGAGCUGCGCUCCAUACUGCAGGACUUGAGUACAGCAGAGGAAAGUGGAAUUCCUGGUGUAGCAGUGAAAUGCGUAGAUAUCAGGAGGAAUACCAGUGGCGAAGGCGGCUUCCUGGGGCACCACUGACGCUGAGAAGCGAAAGCUAGGGGAGCAAACGGG
Molecule: ribosomal RNA, 253 nt
Filed under: uncultured bacterium
Lineage: Bacteria
Description: partial 16S ribosomal RNA
Rfam family: Bacterial small subunit ribosomal RNA
Source: RNAcentral